UAAUAAGAAGCUAUAAUAGCAAUCAGUUUCGACCUGAUUUAUAGGUAAAUUACCCUUAUUAU
This 62-nucleotide transfer RNA is filed under the name Systolederus spicupennis. Its description in RNAcentral is "tRNA-Arg". Lineage: Eukaryota; Metazoa; Arthropoda; Insecta; Orthoptera; Tetrigidae. The record is from RNAcentral.